GACGAACGCUGGCGGCGCGCCUAACACAUGCAAGUCGAACGAGCGAGAGAGAGCUUGCUUUCUUGAGCGAGUGGCGAACGGGUGAGUAACGCGUGAGGAACCUGCCUCAAAGAGGGGGACAACAGUUGGAAACGACUGCUAAUACCGCAUAAGCCCACGGUGCCGCAUGGCACAGAGGGAAAAGGAGCAAUCCGCUUUGAGAUGGCCUCGCGUCCGAUUAGCUAGUUGGUGAGGUAACGGCCCACCAAGGCGACGAUCGGUAGCCGGACGGAGAGGUUGAACGGCCACAUUGGGACUGAGACACGGCCCAGACUCCUACGGGAGGCAGCAGUGGGGAAUAUUGCACAAGGGGGGAAACCCUGAUGCAGCGACGCCGCGUGGAGGAAGAAGGUCUUCGGAUUGUAAACUCCUGUUGUUGGGGAAGAUAAUGACGGUACCCAACAAGGAAGUGACGGCUAACUACGUG
Molecule: ribosomal RNA, 466 nt
Filed under: uncultured bacterium
Lineage: Bacteria
Description: partial 16S ribosomal RNA
Rfam family: Bacterial small subunit ribosomal RNA
Source: RNAcentral